AAGUUAGAAUUUUUUUGCUUGAUUAGGUAAACAAUUCUUAUUGAAGACAUCAACAUCGAAUACGUAUUUAGGACAAGUUAGGCAUAUUGGUAUCAGCCAUCCAUUGUAUUAGUGUUUGAUUUGCAGCUUCCAUGCUUUCUUAAAUGUUUAUUUUGCCUCUCGGCAUGUGUUUUUCACAAUUCGUGGAAUGCGGGUAUGUUUCUUUUGAUCACCGGACAUGUUUUUCUUUUAAAUAAGAAUCUCCUUAGUAUAUUCAAACUCAAAUAGACAGUUACAAGUUUGAAGAUUAAUUAACAAAUAAAAAACAACUCAAACUGCUAUUGUGCUGUAUAUGAGAAGGAAGUAAAGACCUGAAAAACAACUGCGGAGAAGUUGGUGUGAGAGAGAAGAUUGAAUGCCCCCUGGAGGAGUCGCUGGCGGCAGCUGAACAUGCUUCCUCUGAAGCACACAUUACUGUAAAACCCAGAGCUGUUUUAGUAAUUAACGCAUGCAGAAUUGAGGAUACCUCCAUGAAAAGAAAAGUUUAACAAGACAAUAGACAGAUGCUCCUUCCCAAGUAGAAGGUCGUCUAGAUAGACAGAGGUCGAGGAGCAGAGCCUGAUCAAGAAGCCCGAGCUCUCAAACUCAUAAUUCAGCUCAAUCAACAAGAGAGUAUUAGAAGCUCUAAGAAAUUACUUGGGAAAGGAAAUUCUCUACGCUCCAGUAUGCUGGCUAAGCACUUUCUGGAAAACUUUAGAUUAUUUUCUUUAGAUUCACAUAAUGGGUUAGGUGACCCUCAACUUUGCAAUAAGGACGGACCGAUCUACAAUUUUAGACACUUGCCUGACUUUUCAGAGCUUGAUUUAUUACUAGCAUCCCUCCUAAGCAAAGAUCAAGCAACUUAAAGAAGUACAUCCAGAGAAUAAAAGAAAACUUGAAGGUUUUGUGAAAAGAUUUAAUAAAAUUGUUCAAAUAUAAAAAUUGAAUCUUGAUA
This is a long non-coding RNA of Ricinus communis (castor bean), 973 nucleotides long. RefSeq lists it as uncharacterized. NCBI's taxonomy places the organism in Eukaryota, Viridiplantae, Streptophyta, Magnoliopsida, Malpighiales, Euphorbiaceae. The record is from RefSeq and is a predicted model, not a curated record. The transcript is spliced from 2 exons.